Molecule: ribosomal RNA, 253 nt
Filed under: uncultured bacterium
Lineage: Bacteria
Description: partial 16S ribosomal RNA
Rfam family: Bacterial small subunit ribosomal RNA
Source: RNAcentral
UACGUAUGUCCCGAGCGUUAUCCGGAUUUAUUGGGCGUAAAGCGAGCGCAGACGGUUAAUUAAGUCGGAUGUGAAAGACAGGAGCUCAACUCCGGAAUAGCAUUGGAAACUGGUUAGCUUGAGUGCAGUAGAGGUAAGUGGAACUCCAUGUGUAGCGGUGGAAUGCGUAGAUAUAUGGAAGAACACCAGUGGCGAAGGCGGUCUACUAGACUGUAACUGACGUUGAGGCUCGAAAGUUUGGGGAGCGAACGGG